This 438-nucleotide ribosomal RNA is filed under the name Aggregatibacter actinomycetemcomitans. Its description in RNAcentral is "bacterial SSU rRNA". It matches the Rfam family "Bacterial small subunit ribosomal RNA", at positions 66 to 493 of the family's 1533-position model. The record is from RNAcentral. Lineage: Bacteria; Pseudomonadati; Pseudomonadota; Gammaproteobacteria; Pasteurellales; Pasteurellaceae.
ACGGCAGCAGGUAAGUACUUGUACUUAUGCUGACGAGUGGCGGACGGGUGAGUAAUGCUUGGGAAUCUGUCUUAUGGAGGGGGGUAACGACGGGAAACUGUCGCUAAUACCGCGUAGAAUCGGGAGAUGAAAGUGUGGGACCUUCGGGCCACAUGCCAUAGGAUGAGCCCAAGUGUGAUUAGGUAGUUGGUGGGGUAAAGGCCUACCAAGCCGACGAUCGCUAGCUGGUCUGAGAGGAUGGCCAGCCACACCGGGACUGAGACACGGCCCGGACUCCUACGGGAGGCAGCAGUGGGGAAUAUUGCGCAAUGGGGGCAACCCUGACGCAGCCAUGCCGCGUGAAUGAAGAAGGCCUUCGGGUUGUAAAGUUCUUUCGGUGAUGAGGAAGGUUGGUGUGUUAAUAGCAUGCCAAAUUGACGUUAAAUACAGAAGAAGCAC